CUACGUAGGGGGCGAGCGUUGUCCGGAAUGACUGGGCGUAAAGGGCGAGUAGGCGGCGGUGGAAGUCUGGCGUGAACGUCCCGCAUUCAAUGUGGGAAUUGCUUUGGAUACUGCAGUGCUAGAGUGCGGAAGAGGUAAGUGGAAUUUCAAGUGUAGUGGUGAAAUGCGUAGAGAUUGGGAGGAACACCAGUGGCGAAGGCGACUUACUGGGCCGUAACUGACGCUGAGGCGCGAAAGCGUGGGGAGCGAACAGGAUUAGAUACCCUGGUAGUCCACGCGGUAAACGAUGAAUGCUAGGUGUUGCGGGUAUCGACCCCUGCAGUGCCGGAGUAAACACAAUAAGCAUUCCGCCUGGGGAGUACGGCCGCAAGGUUGAAACUCAAAGGAAUUGACGGGG
This 397-nucleotide ribosomal RNA is filed under the name uncultured bacterium. Its description in RNAcentral is "partial 16S ribosomal RNA". It matches the Rfam family "Bacterial small subunit ribosomal RNA", at positions 523 to 918 of the family's 1533-position model. The record is from RNAcentral.